GGACACCAUAAACUGUUAAGAACACAAGGCAAAUAGGUUGCAAAGCUGAAUGACAAGCCUUGUGAAAGGCUCGGGAUUUAAUGUAGCUGAUGAAAGUGCCGGUGGACUCCAGUACCACACCGGGACCUACGGAGACCACCAAGUGAAAUCAGUUAAGAGCCAGCUCUCAGGGUCACAGACUAGAAGGAGAAGAAGAAUGACAUGAAGACCUGGUGCUAUUUGGUGACAACGGGGGACGCGGGGCCAGCGCGGGGAGACACGGCCAUCACUGCACUGUGCAAUUAAGAAAAACCAGCCCAGCCGGUCUGGCUCAGUGGUUGAGUGUCGACCUAUGAACCAGGAGAUUGCAGUUCGAUUCCUGAUCAGGGCACAUGCCUGGGUUGUG
Molecule: long non-coding RNA, 385 nt
Organism: Myotis myotis
Lineage: Eukaryota; Metazoa; Chordata; Mammalia; Chiroptera; Vespertilionidae
Exons: 3
Source: RefSeq, a predicted model, not a curated record